AAACCUCUCAGCAGAAUUUAUUUUUUGUUGGUCAUGGGCUGCGGAGGACCAGCUAUAAUGGCUGCUCCCGCCUUAAAAUUGCUGCACGACCGCAAGCUAUUGCUAGGUUAAUGGAGUGGCGUUUACAUUAUAUUCCAGCGAUUUACUGCAAUGCUUGGUGGCGUAAAACCCAAUGUUGCGAAAGCGACUGAA
Molecule: unclassified non-coding RNA, 192 nt
Filed under: uncultured Orbiliales
Lineage: Eukaryota; Fungi; Ascomycota; Orbiliomycetes; Orbiliales
Description: sequence contains ITS2
Source: RNAcentral